Molecule: ribosomal RNA, 395 nt
Filed under: uncultured bacterium
Lineage: Bacteria
Description: bacterial SSU rRNA
Rfam family: Bacterial small subunit ribosomal RNA
Source: RNAcentral
GUGUCAGCAGCCGCGGUAAUACGGAGGGUGCAAGCGUUAGUCGGAAUUACUGGGCGUAAAGGGUGCGUAGGCUGUUUUGUAAGUCAGAUGUGAAAAACCAAAGCUCAACUUUGGCAGUGCAUCUGAAACUGCAAAACUGGAGGGAUAGCGGAGAAAACGGAAUUCCACGUGUAGCGGUGAAAUGCGUAGAUAUGUGGAAGAACACCUGUGGCGAAAGCGGUUUUCUAGCUUACCCCUGACGCUGAGGCACGAAAGCAAGGGGAGCAAACAGGAUUAGAUACCCUGGUAGUCCUUGCCCUAAACUAUGUAUACUUGGUGUUGUCGGGCUCAACCCUGACAGUACCGUAGCUAACGCGAUAAGUAUACCGCCUGGGGAGUACGCUCGCAAGGGUAAA